RNAcentral lists this long non-coding RNA (3619 nucleotides) under Homo sapiens (human). RNAcentral describes it as "HSALNT0152368". Lineage: Eukaryota; Metazoa; Chordata; Mammalia; Primates; Hominidae. The record is from RNAcentral.
GGCCUCCCAAAGUGCUGGGAUUACAGGUGUGAGCCACUGCACCCAGCCUGUUUUUUAUUUAUAUAUCAUUUAUCAGGUCCAUUUUGGGUGAAUGGCCAUAGAAACUUCCAUUAUGGAAAAACACUUUCAAGUACAAGGUCAAUAUAUAUGCUGGAAUGGUUAUUACUUCUAUUUAUAUUCUCAGUAGAAAUUUUUAAACUGCUGGCAUGAAAUGACCCCAUACCACACAUAUGCGUGUGCACGUUCACGUGCACACACACACACACACGCUUCCCUUGUGACUUCAGCUCUGGCCACUGGAUAACUCGCUGAGGCAAAAUGGCUUCAGUGAAAAUGUGUUGAUAAGGGCUGUCCCCAGUGGUCUCAGGGCAUCCCCACCAAAGCUAACCCAAAGACUGUCUCCAGCUGAGAUGCUGGGGUCAGUGACCUCCAUCUGUCAUUCUUCUUUCAUCUAUCCUCCCAAGGCAAAUUCUUCCAAACUAAAAUCUCUUUUCAUUCUGGUGAAAAACCCCUCUGAGCCAGCAGUGGCUCCAAGCACUGGGGAGACUGACCAUGCAGUAAACAUUCGGUGCUGAAGGAACAGGGCCAGGGCCAUUCUUGGUGUAGGCAUUUGUCAGGAUCUGGGGCAUUUGGGCUCUGGGGAUCAGGGAACAGGAGGGACUAUAACUAAGGGGGCAGUGUCUUGGGCUGGAUAGAAGGGUGGGUGGCUUCAGAGCCUUAGCUCCUGAUUGGAGUUUUAAGGAAGGUUGUGGCUGAAGGGCUGGAUCACUGGCACGUAGGCAUAGCUAACAUGACAGGGAUGUGAAUAAAUGCCCUUCAAUCUGGCAUCAGGGAAGGUGAGCAUGUGGCCAGUGGCUCUCAUCACAGACAAUGGAAGACUUAGGAAGAGGUGAGGUUGAAGACCGUAAUAUCCCUGUCCCAUAGGACAGUAGCCUAGAAUAAAUACGCAGAGUAAUUCCUCCAUGUCUCCGAAGAGGUUGAAUGCCUUGGGGUUCUCCUCAAAGUAUCAGUGAAUGAGGUACAUAGCCAGGUAUGCAGCUUUGUAGAGAAGCAGUUUAUUAAAACAAAAGACCAUAAAAUACAAAGGACCACUGUGCAGAAAGUAAAGCAUAAACCAACUAUCUCAUGAUCAAUGAAGGAAAGCAACUCUUUUUCCUCCAUUCCAUAUCAGGAAAGUGGAACAUCUGUUAUUGAUUUCUGCCAUCUUCACACUUAUGGAGAAAGGAAAGGAAUUCAAGAGAGCACUCUUAUGGCAGGCGCUCACGGCUAGAUACGAAUUUUGGAAGUCCAGAAGGCAGAGUGUUAUGGACUAAAUUGUGUCCCUCCCCACCCAAAUUCAUAUGUUGAAUCCCUAAUCCCCAGUGUGACUGUUUUUGCAUACAGGACAUUUAAAGUUGUAAUUAAGGUUAAAACAAGGUCUUUAGGGUGUUGCCCUAAUCCAGUAUCACUGGUGUCCUUUUAAUGAGAGACACCAGGAAAGUGUGUGUACAAAGAAUAAGCUAUGAGACACCACAGAGGGAAGGCAGCCAUCUGCAGGCCAAGGAGAGAGGCCUUAGUAGAAACCAAACCUGCCAACACCUCAUUCUAGGACUUCCAGUUUCCUGAACUGUGAGAAGAUAAAUAUUCUAUUGCUUAAGGCACCCAGUCUGGUGUUUUCUUAUGUCAGCCCUAGCAAAUUAAUACAGAUUUUGGUACUGUGAUUGGGAUGCUUUGUAACCUAAAAUGUGGAAGUGACUUGGAACUGGGUACUCGGUAGAAAGAAGCUACAAGAGUUCUGAGGCACAUGUUAGGAAAAGCCUGGAUGACCUUUAAAACACUGUUGGUAGGAAUGUAGAUGUUAAAAGGUUCUGGGCUGGGUGUGGUGGCUCACACUUUGAGAGGGCAAAGCAGGAGGAUCAUUUGAGGCCAGGUGUAUGAGACCAGCCUAAGCAACAUAGCAAAAACCCGUAUCUACAAAAUGUUUGGGGUUUUUUUUUGUUUUGUUUUGUUUUGUUUUUAAUUUUAAGGUGAUUGUGGUUAAGUCUCAGACAGAAAUGAGGAAUGGGUAAUGGGAAACUGGAAUCCUUGCAAAGGACUUGCCCAAAUUGCGUUCUAGUGUUUUGUGGAGUACAGAAAUUGUGAGUGAGGCAGUGCAGAAUAUUCAGGUGAUAUUUCUACACAAAGUGAUGCAAGUGGAGUCUGUUUUCUCCUUGCUGCUUAUAGUAAAAUAUUAGAGGAGAAAGAUAAAUUGAAGGAACUGUUAAGCAAAAAAGAACCAGUACUUAAAGAUUUGGAAAAUUCUCAGCCUGUCCGCAUUGCAAAAAAUGAGAAAGUAUGUUCUUGAAAGAACACUAGGGUGUGGCUGGACAACCAUGUGAUAAAGAGAUUAGUAUAGGUCUGAAUGGAACCAAUUAACCAUCUCACCAGAAAUGCUGCCAGCUUGAACUGAAUAGAGAAAGAGACAGGACAAAAAUGAAGGCAGGCUGUUAGACUUCUGGGAUUCUACGGGAAGGUACAAUAGAGCUAUCCAGUUGCAAACGCACGUUAAUCUUCAAGAAAAGGGAAGAAUGUGAUUCUCAAAGGUUCUAAUGGGCCCAGAGAGUACAGGUCUAGAGGGCAAGUGUGUCUCCUCCUCAAUUUCAGUGGGCCAGGAGCCGCUGCCAAGGGCCAAGGGAGCGACACUGCAGCUCCCGUGAGCCUAAAAAGCAGGGCUGCCAAUCCAGUUGGCCCAGAAGGCAGAGCACUGAGCCAAAGGGGAUUAUUCUCGAGACUUAAAAUCUAAUGGAAGUUGCCUUGCCAGGUUUGAGACUUGCUUGGGAUCCAUCAUUCUUCAUUUCUUUCUCAUGUCUUUCCUUUGGAAUGGGGAAGUCCAGCCUCUGCUUGUCCCACCAUUGUAGAAUAUUGUGGAAGCAGAUAUCUGUCUGGUUUCACAGGAUCACACCUGGAGAAUUUUGCCUAAGGAUGAAUUGUACCUAAAGUCUCAUUCACACUUGAUUUAGAUGAUAUUUAAAUGAGAUUUUGGAUCUAGAGGUGAAGUUGAAAUGGGUAAAGAAUUUUGGGACUGUUGGGAUCAUGUGAAUGUAUUUUGAAUGUCUGAGGGACCUGAACUUUGGUAGUGGAGUGUUAUAGACUAAAUUGGGUUUCCCAGAAAUUCAUAUGUUGAAGUCCUAACUGUGUAGUGUGACUGUAUCUAGAGAUAAGGCCUUUAGGAAGGUUAUUAAGGUUAAACGAGGCCAUGUGGCUGUGGCUCUAUCCAAAAUGACUGGUGUCCCUAGAAGAGGAGGAAGCCACACCAGGAAAGCAUACACACAGAAAAAAGCCCACGUGAGGACGUGGCCAGAAAGCAGCCAUCCGCAAGCCAAACAGAGAGGCUUAAGCAGCAGCCAAACCUACCAAUACGUUCAUCUGGGACUUCCAGCCUCCAUAAAUAUGAAAAUAUAUUUCCGUUGUCAAAAUCACCCAGCCUGGGGUACUUUGUUAUGGAACCCCUAGCAAGCCAAGACAAAUUGUGAAUAUAGAAAGUAAACCAAAAAUCAACUAUCUCAUGAUCGAUGAAAGAAAGCAACAUUUUUUUUUUUCCAUUCCAUUUCAGGAAACUGAAGCAUUUACUAGUGAUUUCUGCCAGCUUCACACUCACGGG